GGGCAGGCCGCAGUUAGGCCCGGAAAGGUGCUCGGAUGCUCUAAGUGGCGGUGGAGGCGCGUUCGUGCUUUGGAUUGCAUGCUGUCUCAUGUUGCUGGUGAAGCAAAACCAUGUGUUCAUACACUUUAUGAAGUAGUUGCCCUCUAUCUUUGACAGCUGAAGAGCUAUAAAGAAGAUAAAAUUGUGUGUUACACAGUACAACAGCAGGUUAUUCCAAUUACAGCCGUAAUGGAUGUGCAAGAUUAAAUUAGACUCAAGCAUAAUUUAAAAGGACAGGUAAGAAUGUAGCUUUAAAGGGUUUCUUAUAGAAAUGACUAAAU
Non-coding RNA from Castor canadensis (American beaver), 320 nucleotides. NCBI's taxonomy places the organism in Eukaryota, Metazoa, Chordata, Mammalia, Rodentia, Castoridae. The record is from RefSeq and is a predicted model, not a curated record.